CCUGGCUCAGGAUGAACGCUGGCGGUCUGCUUAACACAUGCAAGUCGAACGCAACCUUCGGGUUGAGUGGCGGACGGGUGAGUAACGCGUGAGAAUCUGCCUUGGGGUCGGGGACAACCACUGGAAACGGUGGCUAAUACCGGAUAAGCCUUUGGGUAAAAAAUUUAUUGCCCCAAGAGGAGCUCGCGUCUGAUUAGCUAGUUGGUGAGGUAAAAGCUCACCAAGGCAGCGAUCAGUAGCUGGUCUGAGAGGACGAUCAGCCACACUGGGACUGAGACACGGCCCAGACUCCUACGGGAGGCAGCAGUGGGGAAUUUUCCGCAAUGGGCGAAAGCCUGACGGAGCAAGACCGCGUGAGGGAGGAAGGCUCUUGGGUUGUAAACCUCUUUUCUCAGGGAAGAAGCUCUGACGGUACCUGAGGAAUCAGCCUCGGCUAACUCCGUGCCAGCAGCCGCGGUAAUACGGAGGAGGCAAGCGUUAUCCGGAAUUAUUGGGCGUAAAGCGUCCGCAGGUGGCGAUUCAAGUCUGCUGUCAAAGCACGGGGCUUAACUCCGUUAAGGCAGUGGAAACUGAAUAGCUAGAGUGCCGUAGGGGUAGAGGGAAUUCCCGGUGUAGCGGUGAAAUGCGUAGAGAUCGGGAAGAACAUCGGUGGCGAAAGCGCUCUACUGGACGGCAACUGACACUCAGGGACGAAAGCUAGGGGAGCGAAUGGGAUUAGAUACCCCAGUAGUCCUAGCUGUAAACGAUGGAUACUAGGUGUAGCUUGUAUCGACCCGAGCUGUGCCGAAGCUAACGCGUUAAGUAUCCC
RNAcentral lists this ribosomal RNA (808 nucleotides) under uncultured organism. RNAcentral describes it as "bacterial SSU rRNA". It matches the Rfam family "Bacterial small subunit ribosomal RNA", at positions 18 to 870 of the family's 1533-position model. The record is from RNAcentral.